GGAUUAGAUACCCUGGUAGUCCACGCCGUAAACGAUGGAUACUAGCUGUUCGAUUUUCGGAUUGAGUGGCUAAGCGAAAGUGAUAAGUAUCCCACCUGGGGAGUACGUUCGCAAGAAUGAAACUCAAAGGAAUUGACGGGGGCCCGCACAAGCGGUGGAGCAUGUGGUUUAAUUCGAUGAUACGCGAGGAACCUUACCAGGGCUUAAAUGUAGUGGGACAGGUCUAGAAAUAGACCCUUCUUCGGACUCAUUACAAGGUGCUGCAUGGUUGUCGUCAGCUCGUGCCG
RNAcentral lists this ribosomal RNA (287 nucleotides) under uncultured bacterium. RNAcentral's name for it is "partial 16S ribosomal RNA". It matches the Rfam family "Bacterial small subunit ribosomal RNA", at positions 775 to 1067 of the family's 1533-position model. The record is from RNAcentral.